AAAAUGAGAGUAAAAAUUCAUCGUGCAGGCUUCCUAGAUUUGUUAAGACAGUUGAAGCCCGGUGCCAGACACAUGCUGGUCAGAACUAUCAGUCCUUCUCGUACCUGACAAAAACGCAUUUCACUGCUAAGGUGCACCAGGUGGUGUUCUUAGUGAGGGAUUGCCUGGUGAGCCAAAGGACAAAGGUUCCUGCCCUGUGGAGCACACACCUGAGACGUGAGACCACUGUGGUCCGGGAUCGGGCAUCCCCCCGAAGCUACCCUCAAGGUCAAGCAGCACUCCAGGACUGGAGCUCGGUGAUCUCUACCUCCCCUGGCCCUCAGAGGCUCUCUAGGCCACACUGAGCUUCCCGUAAUGUCCUUUGCACCCAAUUCCAAUGAGCAUUUGUGUCUACCCUGUUCGACAUUGGGUGUCCCUCAGGAGGAAACUCACAGACCAUUUGAGGAGAAAUUUGGGGAACUGAAACCUCUAACCUCUCUGGGCUCUUCCCCCAUUCUGUCUACAUUGACCGUCUUGUCUCAUCACAAGUUAAAAGCCAAGGUUUACGGGGUACGAGUUACAAAUGCUUGACAGCAUUUCUCAGUAAUGUCCCAUGUCCACAGAUAAAAGAAUUCUAGGGACAUAGGUUCUGGAAAUUCUAUGUGAGACCUUCUCCUUGUGAAGCUUUGCACUUCACAUAAAAGAAUCUAACUCAGGCAAAAAAGAAAAAGUGUAUUAAACUUCAUCUGAUCUGGUUCUUCAGACUUCUUUAACAGCAUACCCCCUUUUUUUCAAAGUUCCUGUUUGCAUAUCUUUCAGUUACCAUCCUGUGUGUUACAUCAGAAUCCUCAGUCGAGCUAGUCUAAACAACUAACAUAGUACGCUGGCUUUUGUGACUGAUACGUCUUGAAGUCACAAGGGCCUCAGUUAUAGUUACAUCAAGGCUUAGCUCUGUUGCCAGGGAUCACUAUUCCCUCCUCUGGGCCUUUGUCAGCUUCCUUGUCUGACUUUCCUCAUAGCAACAAAAUGGCAGCCAUAGUUCUGGGCAUCCCAUCCGCAUACCUGCUUCACAGAGGAAGAGAAGCCUUCUCUCCUCCCCAUGAUGGACUGCAUAUUCUGGGCCUGCUUAGUCCAAGUGCUCAUCCCUGAGCCAAUCCCCAGGCAAGAGGAAUGGGUCUUGAAAGCCCACCCCAAGAAUGAAGUCAUCGUGUUUUCUACAAAGCCUGUGGCAAUGUCCUCUCUCUAGAAACACUCAUCCCACCUGCCCCUACCCCCUUUCUUCCUGCUAAGAUCCUAAGGAUGGUUAGGCCUCUUCCUGAAUCCUGGAUGUAUAUCAUGAUUUGUAGAGCCAUGUAAUUCUCUUCGCUAGCAGUUGGUUCAGAAAUAGCUGUGAGACUUGGUUCUAGCUGAUUAGAUACAAGCAAAACUCUGCUGGGUGGGGCUUCUAGGAAAACCUUUGCCUUUCUGACGAGAAGAACAGACCUGACUGGCCGGCCCCUUUGCCUCAUUACCAUUCCUUCUUCAUCAAACCCAGAAGGAGAAUUGAUACCUCAGAGGCAUGGCAGCCAUCUUGGGACCAUGAGGCAGCAACUGUGAAGACUAACGCCACCAUGCCAGAGAUGCUGGAACAGAUGGACCGGUCCCAAGGCCUACAUAGCAUCACCAGGCAGCUGCACACACGCUGGUCUAUUUUCAGUACAAAAUUAGAAAUUCAUAUUUGUUUAAGCCAAAGGCAUUUCUCACUGACACAAGGCCGAGUCUUUUUUUUUUGCAAACUACGACUUGUGUAGGCACAGAGAUACAGCCUGGAAGGCACAGUUCAAGUUUCGGUGAAUCCCUAAGACUUCUUAAAUACAUUCCGCCCCCUUAUGUUUGUGAGAAAGCAGAUUAUCCAGCCUUUAUCCACUCCAGCAGAGGGCCGAGUACUCCCUGUCUGUGUGGGACGUCAGGAGUCACAUGUCGGACGGCAGGCCACAGAAUACAGCCACUGGCUUUUCUGCGUCCCAGGGUUGUUCUGGGGCUGGUUUCAGGGGCCAGUAGCAGUGGCAACGUGAAAGCCCAUUCUUUACCCCAGAUACCAGUUGGGGUUCAGAAAAGUCUCCCUAGAGCCUUCAACUUAUUCCCCCUUCCAUCCCAGUCACGCUGGGAUCUCUCCUGAGAAAAAACGCAAAAAUGAGAAAAGGGAAAACCUAAAAACAUAAGCUUUAUCAUCACAGCCAGAUAGACCGUAGCCAAAAAAAAAAAAGAA
Mustela lutreola (European mink) is the source of this 2227-nucleotide long non-coding RNA. RefSeq lists it as uncharacterized. NCBI's taxonomy places the organism in Eukaryota, Metazoa, Chordata, Mammalia, Carnivora, Mustelidae. The transcript is spliced from 2 exons. The record is from RefSeq and is a predicted model, not a curated record.